RNAcentral lists this ribosomal RNA (497 nucleotides) under uncultured bacterium. Its description in RNAcentral is "partial 16S ribosomal RNA". It matches the Rfam family "Bacterial small subunit ribosomal RNA", at positions 28 to 507 of the family's 1533-position model. The record is from RNAcentral.
GAUGAACGCUGGCGGCGUGCCUAAUACAUGCAAGUCGAGCGAACGGACGAGAAGCUUGCUUUUCUGAUGUUAGCGGCGGACGGGUGAGUAACACGUGGAUAACCUACCUAUAAGACUGGGAUAACUUCGGGAAACCGGAGCUAAUACCGGAUAAUAUUUUGAACCGCAUGGUUCAAAAGUGAAAGACGGUCUUGCUGUCACUUAUAGAUGGACCCGCGCUGCAUUAGCUAGUUGGUAAGGUAACGGCUUACCAAGGCAACGAUGCAUAGCCGACCUGAGAGGGUGAUCGGCCACACUGGGACUGAGACACGGUCCAGACUCCUACGGGAGGCAGCAGUAGGGAAUCUUCCGCAAUGGGCGAAAGCCUGACGGAGCAACGCCGCGUGAGUGAUGAAGGUCUUCGGAUCGUAAAACUCUGUUAUUAGGGAAGAACAUAUGUGUAAGUAACUGUGCACAUCUUGACGGUACCUAAUCAGAAAGCCACGGCUAACUACGUG